RNAcentral lists this transfer RNA (46 nucleotides) under Amaranthus hybridus (smooth pigweed). Its description in RNAcentral is "partial tRNA-His". It matches the Rfam family "tRNA", at positions 1 to 44 of the family's 71-position model. From Rfam's summary of the family: Transfer RNA (tRNA) molecules are approximately 80 nucleotides in length. Their secondary structure includes four short double-helical elements and three loops (D, anti-codon, and T loops). RNAcentral also lists the same sequence under 1 other name. Lineage: Eukaryota; Viridiplantae; Streptophyta; Magnoliopsida; Caryophyllales; Amaranthaceae. The record is from RNAcentral.
GCGGAUGUAGCCAAGUGGAUCAAGGCAGUGGAUUGUGAAUCCACCA